RNAcentral lists this long non-coding RNA (4154 nucleotides) under Triticum aestivum (bread wheat). RNAcentral's name for it is "long non-coding RNA (TAES_LNC012247)". The record is from RNAcentral. Lineage: Eukaryota; Viridiplantae; Streptophyta; Magnoliopsida; Poales; Poaceae.
UUCAUCCAAGACUAGGCUUGACCAGCGGGUGGGAAGCGACUAGAGAAUAUGACGUCUUUACUCAACUAUUUGUAGAUGUCAAGGAAUUUGUAUAGUAAAUAUAUUAGCUUUUGUGAUCCACUUCUGGUUUAUGCCUGCUUUAUCAUGCCUUGUGUGACUAUAGGCCUCUGGUCUAUAGGCGCGCGGCGGCUGUCUCGCCUAGGCCCGGUCUCGGGGCGUGACUUGCUUCCUCCGUUUUUUUAGAUGCGAACGAGGUAACUUAAGUAUGUUCAACUUAAGUAUGUUCAGAAGAUGUCUUCAUCCAAGACUAGGCUUGACCAGCGGGUGGGAAGCGACUAGAGAAUAUGAUGUCUUUACUCAACUAUUUGUAGAUGUCAAGGAAUUUGUAUAGUAAAUAUAUUAGCUUUUGUGAUCCACUUCUGGUUUAUGCCUUCUUUAUCAUGCCUUGCGUGACUAUAGUCCUCCUUGUCUAUAGGCGCGCGGCGGCUGUCUCGCCUAGGCCCGGUCUCGGGGCGUGACAGUUAAGGCGUGAUUAAUUAAGCAUUAACCAUCAGUGGAUCACAAAAGCUCAUAUAUAUUGACGACAGAAAUUUCUUUACAUAUACAAAUAGACAAAAUACAUUAAAAUCUCUAGUCGUUUCCCACCCACUGGUCGAGCCUAUUCUUGGAUGACAUCUUCUGGGCAUACUUAAGUUACACCGACUGCAUCUAAGAAAUAGAGAAGACAAGGGUGAGUACGAUAAAUCAUACUCAGCAAGCAAAUACUUCACUAUUCAAUAAGGAGCAAUGGUAUGAUGGUGUAGAUCAACAGACGAACUGAAUUCAGAGGAUAACAAUGUAACAACCAUUGGAAUCAUAUUUUGAUGUAAAUGGACAAAAGAACAAAAUACCAGAUUUAGUAAAAACAACAAGGAAUCUAUUGGCGUCACACAUGACCGCAAGCUUCCCAACCCGGGAGUCACAGGGUGAAAUUUCACACUUUUACGCUCUUAAGAGGGGUACUCCGACGUCGACAGCCUCGACUAGAACCACACAGGUUCCAGAAGAGCAGAGCUCUUUUACCCACUAAGUCCCGGACACCUGUACCUACUUAUGUCGGUCGCUCCUACGGAUCCAUCACCGACACGUUCCCGAACAAGAUCCGACCUUAACGGAGAGCCCAGACAGUCCCAUACCUAAACUGUGACCGGUACAAUACGUUUGCAGUCGUGACACCAAUAUAGAUGGAUGUGUGUUUGAAUCAACAUUAGGACCACUGAAGUAUCGGUCAAAGACAAUACACUCAUGGCUUUUCAUGAGUUCCUCCAAAAUACUCUGAUUCCAUCAACAAAUGGAUUAUGAGGAAAACACAUCCCUCUUUCAAGGAUCAAUAGAGGAUCAACAAAGAUCAAGGUGCAAUGAUAUUACCAGAUAAUCAAGCAAGACAACAAUAAGGAGAGAUCAGGGAGUUUAGCAAAGCAGCUACUUGCCUCAGAUAAUAUGAUUUCUCCUUUAGAAUAAUACUCUGCAAGAAGAUGAAACUCCAUCAUCUUUGUAUAAAAUCUGACGACCGCGCAUAUACUAAUAUUCUUCUGACGUAUGGCUUUGUUCUUCCCUCCAUCAGCAUCUACACGAUCUAUAUAUCUUCAAACAUGGACGCAUGCAUACUUGUAUUCUUCAUCUCUCUUCUCUUCGCUCUCUCCGCUGGUAUGCUCUAUUUCUCUCAUGCUCUCUCCUAGUAUCUUCUCUUCGCUCUAUUUCUCUCAUGCUCUCACUCUUGGUGAUGAGGAUGUGCAAAACGAGUAGCAGUAGCUAUUUAUAGAUGGUGAGCCCAGAGUGAACUCAGCCGAGCUGUUCUUGAAGCACACAAUCAUCUAGACUCUACCUAUUACGUGGCAUGCAUGCCUUGGUCUACGUGGAGAACCUGGUAAAAGAUCUAAGCCGCAAUGGCCUUUGACCCUUGCCCCUUGACCCUUCGAACUGCUGCCCCUUUUGCUUGUGCAAAAGCCAAACAAACCUGACCACUAUACAAAAGCUCCACGUAGCAAUUUCUUUGUCCUAAAUAUCUAAGGAUGCUGCCAGCACAACCUAGCUUCAUCUAGUACCAGGCCACGUUGGCCCUCUCAUGCAGAGGAUUUUACUUAGCUUGUAAGGAUAGUACAUACGUGUGCAUUUUCAUCAUUACAUGCAUGCACAUCUUCUAGUAUUUGGCCAUCUUCUCAUUACUAGCUAUCCUGUACUAGCCACUAAUUUGUAUUAAUUUGCAUACUAAUGCCAUAACGUGAGUGCAUGGAUGCUAGUCUACGUGCACAUAUACAUAUUUACUUAGUGUGUAAUUAUAUCCAUCUAAUAUUUUAUGCAUGCAAAAAUUACAGCUCUAUUUUAAUUCUUUAAAACAGGAAUCUAGCAUAACUUAUUUGCCCAAUUAUUUUAUGUUAAACAGAUAACAGAAAUUUAAUACCCAACUUAAUUUAAAUUAAUAACCCAAAAAUAUGGGUUAUUACAUCUGCCACUUUAACUGUCACGCCCCGAGACCGGGCCUAGGCGAGACAGCCGCCGCGCGCCUAUAGACCAGGAGGACUAUAGUCACGCAAGGCGUGAUUAAUUAAGCAUUAACCAUCAGUGGAUCACAAAAGCUCAUAUAUAUUGACUACAUAAAUUUCUUUACAUAUACAAAUAGACAAAAUACAUUAAAAUCUCUAGUCGUUUCCCACCCACUGGUCCAGCCUAUUCUUGGAUGACAUCUUCUGGGCAUACUUAAGUUACACCGACUGCAUCUAAGAAAUAGAGGAGACAAGGGUGAGUACGAUAAAUCAUACUCAGCAAGCAAAUACUUCACUAUUCAAUAAGGAGCAAUGGUAUGAUGGUGUAGAUCAACAGACGAACUGAAUUCAGAGGAUAACAAUGUAACAACCAUUGGAAUCAUAUUUUGAUGUAAAUGGACAAAAGAACAAAAUACCAGAUUUAGUAAAAACAACAAGGAAUCUAUUGGCGUCACACAUGACCGCAAGCUUCCCAAUCCGGGAGUCACAGAGGUGAAAUUUCACACUUUUACGCUCUUAAGAGGGGUACUCCGACGUCGACAGCCUCGACUAGAACCACACAGGUUCCAGAAGAGCAGAGCUCUUUUACCCACUAAGUCCCGGACACCUGUACCUACUUAUGUCGGUCGCUCCUACGGAUCCAUCACCGACACGUUCCCGAACAAGAUCCGACCUUAACGGAGAGCCCAGACAGUCCCAUACCUAAACUGUGACCGGUACAAUACGUUUGCCGUCGUGACACCAAUAUAGAUGGAUGUGUGUUUGAAUCAACAUUAGGACCACUGAAGUAUCGGUCAAAGACAAUACACUCAUGGCUUUUCAUGAGUUCCUCCACAAUACUCUGAUUCCAUCAACAAAUGGAUUAUGAGAAAAACACAUACCUCUUUCAAGGAUCAAUAGAGGAUCAACAAAGAUCAAGGUGCAAUGAUAUUACCAGAUAAUCAAGCAAGACAACAAUAAGGAGAGAUCAGGGAGUUUAGCAAAGCAGCUACUUGCCUCAGAUAAUAUGAUUUCUCGUUUAGAAUAAUAUUCUGCAAGAAGAUGAAACUCCAUCAUCUUUGUAUAAAAUCUGACAAACGCGCAUAUACUAAUAUUCUUCUGACGUAUGGCUUCGUUCUUCCCUCCAUCAGCAUUUACACGAUCUAUAUAUCUUCAAACAUGGACGCAUGCAUACUUGUAUUCUUCAUCUCUCUUCUCUUCGCUCUCUCCGCUGGUAUGCUCUAUUUCUCUCAUGCUCUCUCCUAGUAUCUUCUCUUCGCUCUAUUUCUCUCAUGCUCUCACUCUUGGUGAUGAGGAUGUGCAAAACGAGUAGCAGCAGCUAUUUAUAGAUGGUGAGCCCAGAGUGAACUCAGCCGAGCUAUUCUUGAAGCACACGAUCAUCUAGACUCUACCUAUUACGUGGCAUGCAUGCCUUGGUCUACGUGGAGAACCUGGUAAAAGAUCUAAGCCGCAAUGGCCUUUGACCCUUGCCCCUUGACCCUUCGAACUGCUGCCCCUUUUGCUUGUGCAAAAGCCAAACAAACCUGACCACUAUACAAAACCUCCACGUAGCAAUUUCUUUGUCCUAAAUAUCGAAGGAUGCUGCCAGCACAACCUAGCUUCAUCUAGUACCAGGCCACGUUGGCCUCAUGC